This 437-nucleotide RNase P RNA is filed under the name Coleofasciculus sp. C3-bin4. RNAcentral describes it as "RNase P RNA component class A". It matches the Rfam family "Bacterial RNase P class A". Rfam says of the family: Ribonuclease P (RNase P) is a ubiquitous endoribonuclease, found in archaea, bacteria and eukarya as well as chloroplasts and mitochondria. Its best characterised activity is the generation of mature 5'-ends of tRNAs by cleaving the 5'-leader elements of precursor-tRNAs. Cellular RNase Ps are ribonucleoproteins. The record is from RNAcentral. Lineage: Bacteria; Bacillati; Cyanobacteriota; Cyanophyceae; Coleofasciculales; Coleofasciculaceae.
GAGAGUAGGCGCAGGUGGUUGCGGAUUUCGCUCUUGCAAGCGAAUCUGAGGAAAGUCCGGGCUCCCGAAAGACCAGACUUGCUGGGUAACGCCCAGUGCGGGUGACCGUGAGGAUAGUGCCACAGAAAGAUACCGCCGCUUAAGAGUUAUGAGUGCUUCGGCUUGAGUUAAUUCAAAACUCAAAACCCAAAACUCAAAAUUCUUGCGGUAAGGGUGCAAAGGUGCGGUAAGAGCGCACCAGCAGCAUCGAGAGGUGCUGGCUCGGUAAACCCCGGUUGGGAGCAAGGUAAGACAGGAACUAUGGUUGGUCUUUUACCAGUUCCUACAAGAGAACCGCUUGAGGCGUCUGGUAACAGGCGUCCCAGAUAGAUAACCGCCCUCUACCGUGGCACUGCUGCUGUGGAGAACAGAACCCGGCUUAUGUCCGACUCUCUCCU